RNAcentral lists this ribosomal RNA (271 nucleotides) under uncultured prokaryote. RNAcentral's name for it is "partial 16S ribosomal RNA". It matches the Rfam family "Bacterial small subunit ribosomal RNA", at positions 524 to 794 of the family's 1533-position model. The record is from RNAcentral.
UACGGAGGAUGCGAGCGUUAUCCGGAUUUAUUGGGUUUAAAGGGUGCGUAGGCGGCUUUUUAAGUCAGCGGUGAAAUUUUGCAGCUUAACUGUAACAGUGCCUUCGAAACUGGUUUCCUUGAGUGUAGAUGAAGUAGGCGGAAUUUGUGGUGUAGCGGUGAAAUGCAUAGAUAUCACGAGGAACUCCGAUUGCGCAGGCAGCUUACUAAACCACUACUGACGCUCAUGCACGAAGGCGUGGGGAUCAAACAGGAUUAGAUACCCGGGUAGU